RNAcentral lists this transfer RNA (76 nucleotides) under Serratia marcescens. Its description in RNAcentral is "tRNA-Cys(gca)". The record is from RNAcentral. Lineage: Bacteria; Pseudomonadati; Pseudomonadota; Gammaproteobacteria; Enterobacterales; Yersiniaceae.
GGCAUCGGCGCUUGGCCGGACGAGGCAGACGUGCAGCGUUUGCUGGCGGGGCGCGAUCGUCAUGCGCCGGUGCCGC